CUUCUUCUUCUUCUUCUUCUUCUUCUUCUUCAUUUUCAGAAUGGAAAGUUCUGGAACAAACGACUAUGGUUCAUACACUUACCAAAACCUUGAGAGAGAGCCUUAUUGGCCAUCAGAAAA
Non-coding RNA from Cicer arietinum (chickpea), 120 nucleotides. Lineage: Eukaryota; Viridiplantae; Streptophyta; Magnoliopsida; Fabales; Fabaceae. The record is from RefSeq and is a predicted model, not a curated record.